AAAGCCUUUCCCCUCCGCAACACUUAGCUCAGCUACACCACGAGAGCACAGCUUUAUGAGCCAGCUAAGCUCAUUUAAAAUCGGCUGCUGCCAAAAGGGGCUGUGCCUCCCCCCCCCACACAGCCAUCAGAAAAUCUGGGGCACCCUUCUGAGCAGUGAGCCAACCCAGCAGCAUCCCAAUGGCACCAGCCAUGCCCCCUCUGCUCUGAGCCCCAGAGUGGUGGGAGAGCUCCAGCAGCUCACAGGGAUGGGAGAUGGGAACACAACCCUGCUUGCGUGAUUGUUUUCCCUUCUGUUGGAAGGCAGCAGGGAUUUCUCACAUCGGAAAAGCGAGGGCGUAAUGGGAAAGGCAGGUGGUGCACGCAGUGCUGAGCACACGGCUCAUCCCGGACUGAUAACUGCUGCAGGACCAUCAGCACAGCACCACGAUGGGGCCGAGCAGAAGCGUGUGACACUCUCAGCCCUGGAAGAUGCAGCGAGUUGCCUACCAAGGAAAUUGCUGGAAGAACACCCAGAAAAAAGCAGCGUGCACAUACACAGGCAGCUAUCUAUUCCAGGAAUUCUUGGGACGGGUAAUUGGAGACUGGUCUCGUUAGCAGAGAGCCUUCAUGCUGAGCUUGCGGAGGAGACUGUAGGGGUUGGGAUGGGAAGAGGGAGGAUCUCUCCCUGGAGAAAGAGGGAGAGACAACAGCAAGUUCAGGCAGUGCUGGGAAUGCAGCACUGGAAACUUGUCAGAUGUUGCACUGCAGAACUGCUACAGACAACAGCACUCGGGGUGAACUGUUCCCAUGCAGCUGGGAACGCUCCUCAGGAGCAGAGCUGGUGCCAGCUGAGCCACCAGAAUGCAAUGGCAGCAGUGCAUGGAGAACAGCCUGGUGCCCAGGAAUCGGCCUGGAGAGUCUGAACUGAUAGGAAAGCAGGAGGUUCCCAUUAAGGGAGGAACCGUGAGCAGCUCCCCUCUGCACAACCAGCACUGACUGCAUUGGCUGCACGGACUCAGCUGUGAGAUUCCCAAACAGCUUCUGCCAGCGCUCCUCUGCUCUCAGAGGGGUUCAGACAUCGUCUGUGUCUGAACGUGUGCGUAUCAAUGAGAGGAAAAUGUCAGUUAAAGCAGGGAAAGCUGGAGACUGGGAAAAGACUGAGGGCUCCAAAUACACUGCAGACCCGGGGUUGUUGUUAUUAAAAAGCACUUCCAGUUACAGGAUGGUUCGUCUCACAGCAUUAAAAACCAGGGAGAUGCAGCAGCAAGUGGGAAAGCUGCAAACUCAGUGCUGGGGCUCCCUGAGAGCAUCAAACCCAGUGCAGCUCUGAGCCCCUCUGGAACCGCAUCCAGGAGCGGCAGAACCCGCAGCUGUCACACAGACACAGCGGCAGCCCCAGGACGGGGCACUGUGGAGCUGCGCCAAGCCAAAUGAAACUGAUGAAACAGAAUGCAUCUUCAUGUGGCUGUGCAGAUGGCUGCGUGCCUGAGAACACUGCGAGCUGCAGAUCAGAGACACCCAGCACUGGGAUGAGAAACCAAAAACGCCCCAAAUCCACGUUGAGUUACAAAAUAGCUUCAUCCUGACACAACUUAACCAUCUCACGCUUCCCAGUUCAGCUUUGGAAGCUGAAGCUCUGCUAUCCUUACAUUGAUAGUUACAUUGAUGCAGGAUGGCGCCCCGGGCAGCUGCGGCUCCCAGCAGGGCUCCCACAACAGCUGAGGGCUGCGCGGGUAGCUCCGCACUGCAGAGGGGUGGUGGGAUGAGGAACACCAGCACUGUGCGCCCAUGGAACCAAUCCACCGCUGUGCUUCACUGUUUCCACAUCUGCAGAAGCAGGCUUUAAACAAGUAAGUGUGUUUCUAAGCUUUGACAGUUAAAAUCCUCAAGUGACAUCACCUGAAGUCGGAGCACAGCUGCCUUAUUCCUCUGGCACAUGGCUGCGCCAAAGUAAGCACGAGCCCCAGUUUAUGGGCUGACAGCACACCUCGAGAUGGCGAAAGCACUGCUGGGGUUUGCCCUGCAGCACUACGGCCCCUCCUGACUCUUUCCUUGUUUUUGGGAGUAAGAAACACCACAUUGAGGAGCACUGAGCCCCAGCAGAGGGAGCACGGAGGGUGCGCCAACCCAACGGGUUUGGUGGAACACCGGGAAUGGUGCUCACAAGGAGGAGAGCGACGGAACCCACCGAGCAGCACAGCUCCGGGGUGCCCUCCACGGGGCACGGGAGGGGAGCAGAGCACCCACCCCGACACGGCCGCUUACAAGCAGCUUAAGGGUGUAAAUCGCGUUAAUCCCGGUAACAAAGCUCCGGGCUCACCCUUGUGUGAAUCGCUAAUCCCUCUCCCCCGGGCUGUCCCCAUCCAGAGCUCGGAGGCAGAACAGCGCAGCACCGAGAGGUGACCCCACCGAGCACAGCCCGACAGACCCCAACGGCACCGAGCAGCUCCAGGGGCUGCAGCAGCGCUGUGCCCAUCUGCUCAGAGCCCUCCCUCUUGUUUCGGAGGGGAUUACUGGAAAAACGCGCAUUUCCCUUUUCACUGCUCUGUAUUUCGGGCUCUCCCCGAGGCAGCCUCCAAAAACGCCGCGCGUUGGUUUCAACCUCAGAAGCAGCGCACGUUUGGUUUGCUAGAACAAAAGCGUGCAGGUCGUAAUCAAGCCGGAUCAAAAAGGCCCAGGUUGGCAGCACGGCUCUACGUCCGCGACAACCCGCGGUUGUCCAAAUCCUUCACUUUGUAUAUCCGGACCAGCCAGUGCUCUGUGGUGUACGCCUCCUCCAGCACAUCCAGCUCAAAGUCCUUGUUCCCGAUCUCGGCGUUGCGCACGCGGUCGUAGCCCGGCGGCCGCUUGGCCUCGGUGUAGACCUGCCCGAAGCGGUAGUAGCACAUCUUGUACAUCAGGCAGUUGAGCAGCACCGGGGAGCCCUCGCGGUCGACGCGGAACUCGCCGGUGGGCGUGUAGUAGUCGUGCUCCUUGAUGUGCCGGCCCGUGUCCGUGCUGCCGCCGAUGCGCACCAUCCACAGGAACUUGUUGAUGUCGUCAGACGAAUAGCCGGUGAGGCCGCCGAAGAUCACCAGCACGUAGCUCACGUCCAGCUCUCUCAUGAUCUCGUAGGCUUUCUCCUCCGUCGAUGCCAUCGCCUGCGGGGGACCCAACGGCUGUGAUGUGCCGCAGUGCUCCAAAAGCACGGGCGCGGUGUGGGAGCACCUACCUGCCCAACACGGGAGAUGUGCGUGUUGUUCCAGGUGUUGUUGUCCACCAGGAUGGUGCGGUUGGCCAUGGCGGUGAUCUGGUAGCCGUAGUCCCACCAGGACAUCACCUUGGCGUCCUGCAGCCAAACACCACAUGUGCUGUCAGCAUGCAGAUGGGUGCCAGCACCCGCCGGGGUCGGAGCGCCGUUACCUCGGGCGUGUUGUGCCGCAGCCAGUAGUAGGCCUCCCUGAAGUCAUCAAAGAUGAUUCUGCUGCCGUCCCCGCCGCGCGCUGACAGCACGAUGGAGGGCGAUGAGUAUGCCUCGCUGGUCACCCAGGUCGAGUGAAAGGUGUACGUGAUGAGGAAGAAAGCCAUCACCAGGAUCAUGCCGCUGGCAACCUGGGGAUGCAGAUCAGUGUCACUGCAGGAGGGCACAGAGCACCUCCCACGCGCUCAUCCCCACCAGGAACAGCAGCAACGCUCCUCUUCCCCACAGUGAGGAGCUGCCCCAGCACUCACUUCAUUUUUGAUGGGGUAGGUGGAGUCUUGCUGCUUUUUGCUCUUCUUGUCUGGCCGGCUGAUGUCCAGGUUCUUCAUGUAGGUGGACAACACCUGAGAAACGCCGAUGCCGGAAAGGAUGCACAUCACCGGGGCCAGCACCAGCAUCAGCCGCACCUGCAGGCAACAGCACGGCCAUCAGAGCCUGCUGAGCGGGCAGAGCCACACAGCCUGGCCUGGGGCAACUCCACAGAUGGGGCACCCACUUCUCUGAGCAGCAGUGCCAGGAUCUCACCGCACUCUGGGUGAAGAACUUCCUAACAUCUAACCUUAACCUGCCCUCUUUUAGUUUAAAGCCAUUGCCAACAAGUUCAGAAACGAAGAAGUCAGUUUUGUUAAGACCAUCUCAUCAUCCUGCUCGUGUCCUUCUCAGUCCCACAACAGUGCACCAACCCGAGCAGCCCUCACCAUUACAGCAGAGAAGUACAUGGAGGUCACGCCAUACAUGAUGAUAAAAAUGCGGGCAUCUGAGAGAUUGCUGAAGCAGUAAUAGAGACCAACUGCAAAGAGGAAAGAGAAACAGGUGAGGUUCACCUUAGCCUGAAAGAAAAUCCAUCUGGUGGGGACAUGCAGCACGCUGCAAGGAUGUAAUAAACCCAGAGAUCACCUCAGGGUCCGACUGCAACAAGGCUGGGCUCACCUGGGAACAUGAACACAAGGAGCUGCAGGUCAAAGUAAUAGGAGGACCAGGUGGUGGGCUGGUGCUCUGAGACAGAGGCAAUGAUGGGAAUGUUGUUCUUGGCAUAGGAAGGAUCCAGCAGGGAGUAGAAACGCCCCGUCCAUGGGGAGAUUUUCCCUAGCAGAGAGGAGAAAAAUCAGCAUCAGUCCUAGCACAGCCAGCAAUGCCAACAGGUUGUCACAACGGAAAUGUGCAAGGCUGAAUGAGCAAUCCUGCACCUCGUUUAUCAUCUCCAUUACUCAAAACUCUUAUUUUAAAAACGAAAUUAAAUGUGAUUUUACCCUAAGAAGAUUUGUGCCCAACCCACUCCACAUGGUGCAAGCAAUAAUGCAGAAAUCACGACUGACAAAAGGUGUGCCCUUCAGUGAGGGACACGGUUAGUGAGAACAGUGGGGCUGGGCUGGGGUUGGACUUGGUGAUCUGAAAAGUCUUUUCCAACCUUAAUGAUUCUGUGAUUCUAUGACUCAAAGCAUGGGAAAGAGGCAAAGCCAGCAGUGAAACAUGCUCCACAACAUCGCCAUUAAUGGGAUCACCAUUAAUUGAACUACCUGUGAGCAUCAGCACAGCCCCGGUUGUCAGGAGGACAAAGCCAACCAGGGAGAUGACGCUCCUGAAGAGGACUUCAAACUGCUGUGGGUUCAGCUUGCUGCGGAGGUAGUCCACAAAGGCAUGGAUUUGGCACAAGCCAAAGACGCCCAGGGCAGCCAUGUGCUCUGAGGAGAGGACAGGCUGCAAACAGGGGACAGUGUGAUCAGACACAGGGAAACAGCAGCUGAGUCACUCCAAAAAGACCUCAGCAAAAUCAGUGCUGAAGUCAUGACCGGCUGAAGUCAUAGGAAGCCAUUCCCUCCCUGUGGACAUGACAAAUUUCACAUCAGCCUUAAUUCUGAUAGGAAUGAACAUGAAAAAUGAACUCUGAGAGCCUUCCUUGGUGUAAGCUCUCGUCCAGCUGAAGUUUCCAAGCCCACGAAACCUGUAUUCCCCAUUCCAGGACACUAAAGGUGACAAAGAGGCAACUGCUUCUCUUGACAAUGCUACACUUCCUACUGUAUGGAGAUGUGUGCUGGUGAGAGCGUUUCCUUCAUGGAAAAUGGAACUUCCAAGAUUUCCUGAAAGAGAAGCAGUGCUGGAAGGCCUCACCUGAAAGCCAACAAAGGAGAUCUGCAUUGAGAGGAUUGUCCCCAGGCAGUACACAGUGCAGUAUGCAACAUAGAUCCUGUGUGAGAAGCGGCCAGUCAGCAUCAGCACAAGGACGUGCAGUGGGAUCAGGUUAAUCAGGAAGACAUAGCCACCCCACGAGGAGACCUGGCAAAAGGAAAAUGAAAAAUACCAAUUCCAGAGCUGGACAGACUGCACGGUGGGGUCCAACAGCACAUUCUGUUUUCUUGGGAUCAUGUGCUCUCCCCAUAAAGGGCACCCUGAGCAGCCCCAGCUGCCAGAAGCCCAGACUUAUCAGAUAUCUGGGUGCCAGGAUAAAGGAACGCUCACCAUGUAGAAAUAGGCAAGAGCACACAUCGCUGCCCAAUAGAUAGAGCCAGUUUUCACAGCCUUGAUCCACAUGUAGUAGGUUAGCAGCAUGCAGAAAAUGGCAAUACCUGGGUGGAGAGACACAGCGAGGUCAGAGCAAGCUCAUAUCACCCUGAAUGUCAGUGUAACCUCAAUGUCAAUAUGCACCAGAGCAUCUGACUACGUUAAAAUAUAUAUAUAUUAUAUAUAUAAAAAUCUGCCUAUCUUGCUGCUGCUCCACCAGAAAGAACAGCACUUUGUAUGAAUAGUGGGAAAACAGUUCUGU
This 6202-nucleotide long non-coding RNA is filed under the name Gallus gallus (chicken). Lineage: Eukaryota; Metazoa; Chordata; Aves; Galliformes; Phasianidae. The record is from RNAcentral.